Molecule: ribosomal RNA, 230 nt
Filed under: uncultured bacterium
Lineage: Bacteria
Description: partial 16S ribosomal RNA
Rfam family: Bacterial small subunit ribosomal RNA
Source: RNAcentral
CGGGAGUAACGCGUGGGUAACCGUGCCUCAUACAGGGGGAUAACAAGUUAGAAAUGACUGCUAAUACCGCAUAAGCGCACAGUGCUGCAUGGCACAGUGUGAAAAACUCCGGUGGUAUGAGAUGGACCCGCGUCUGAUUAGCUAGUUGGUGGGGUAACGGCCUACCAAGGCGACGAUCAGUAGCCGGCCUGAGAGGGUGACGGCCACAUUGGGACUGAGACACGGCCCAA